Molecule: ribosomal RNA, 497 nt
Filed under: uncultured bacterium
Lineage: Bacteria
Description: partial 16S ribosomal RNA
Rfam family: Bacterial small subunit ribosomal RNA
Source: RNAcentral
GACGAACGCUGGCGGCGUGCCUAAUACAUGCCAGUUGAGCGCUGAAGGUUGGUACUUGUACCGACUGGAUGAGCAGCGAACGGGUGAGUAACGCGUGGGGAAUCUGCCUUUGAGCGGGGGACAACAUUUGGAAACGAAUGCUAAUACCGCAUAAAAACUUUAAACACAAGUUUUAAGUUUGAAAGAUGCAAUUGCAUCACUCAAAGAUGAUCCCGCGUUGUAUUAGCUAGUUGGUGAGGUAAAGGCUCACCAAGGCGAUGAUACAUAGCCGACCUGAGAGGGUGAUCGGCCACAUUGGGACUGAGACACGGCCCAAACUCCUGCGGGAGGCAGCAGUAGGGAAUCUUCGGCAAUGGACGAAAGUCUGACCGAGCAACGCCGCGUGAGUGAAGAAGGGUUUCGGAUCGUAAAACUCUGUUGGUAGAGAAGAACGUUGGUGAGAGUGGAAAGCUCAUCAAGUGACGGUAACUACCCAGAAAGGGACGGCUAACUACGUG